UCUAUAGGGCACUAUGGGGCACUGUGUGUCUCUAUAGGGCACUAUGGGGCACUGUGUGUCUCUAUGGGGCGCUAUGGGGCACUGUGUGUCUCUAUAUGGCGCUAUGGGGCACUGUGUGGCGCUAUGGGGCCCUGUGUGUCUCUACAGGGCGCUAUGGGGCACUGUGUGGCACUAUGGGGCACUGUGUGUCUCUAUAGGGCACUAUGGGGCACUGUGUGGCGCUAUGGGGCGCUGUGUGUCUCUAUAGGGCGCUAUGGGGCACUGUGUGUCUCUAUAGGGCGCUAUGGGGCACUGUGUGUCUCUAUGGGGCGCUAUGGGGCACUGUGUGUCUCUACAGGGCGCUAUGGGGCACUGUGUGUCUCUAUGGGGCUCUAUGGGGCACUGUGU
Molecule: long non-coding RNA, 387 nt
Organism: Tympanuchus pallidicinctus (lesser prairie-chicken)
Lineage: Eukaryota; Metazoa; Chordata; Aves; Galliformes; Phasianidae
Exons: 4
Source: RefSeq, a predicted model, not a curated record